Molecule: ribosomal RNA, 468 nt
Filed under: uncultured bacterium
Lineage: Bacteria
Description: partial 16S ribosomal RNA
Rfam family: Bacterial small subunit ribosomal RNA
Source: RNAcentral
GACGAACGCUGGCGGCGUGCUUAACACAUGCAAGUCGAACGGAAAGGCCCUGCUUUUGUGGGGUGCUCGAGUGGCGAACGGGUGAGUAACACGUGAGUAACCUGCCCUUGACUUUGGGAUAACUUCAGGAAACUGGGGCUAAUACCGGAUAGGAGCUCCUGCUGCAUGGUGGGGGUUGGAAAGUUUCGGCGGUUGGGGAUGGACUCGCGGCUUAUCAGCUUGUUGGUGGGGUAGUGGCUUACCAAGGCUUUGACGGGUAGCCGGCCUGAGAGGGUGACCGGCCACAUUGGGACUGCGAUACGGCCCAGACUCCUACGGGAGGCAGCAGUGGGGAAUAUUGCACCAUGGGCGGAAGCCUGAUGCAGCAGCGCCGCGUGCGGGAUGACGGCCUUCGGGUUGUAAACCGCUUUCGCCUGUGACGAAGCGUGAGUGACGGUAAUGGGUAAAGAAGCACCGGCUAACUACGUG